GACGAACGCUGGCGGCGUGCUUAACACAUGCAAGUCGAACGGAAAGGCCCUGCUUUUGUGGGGUGCUCGAGUGGCGAACGGGUGAGUAACACGUGAGUAACCUGCCCUUGACUUUGGGAUAACUUCAGGAAACUGGGGCUAAUACCGGAUAGGAGCUCCUGCUGCAUGGUGGGGGUUGGAAAGUUUCGGCGGUUGGGGAUGGACUCGCGGCUUAUCAGCUUGUUGGUGGGGUAGUGGCUUACCAAGGCUUUGACGGGUAGCCGGCCUGAGAGGGUGACCGGCCACAUUGGGACUGAGAUACGGCCCAGAAUCCUACGGGAGGCAGCAGUGGGGAAUAUUGCACAAUGGUCGGAAGCCUGAUGCAGUAACGCCGCGUGCGGGAUGACGGCCUUCGGGUUGUAAACCGCUUUCGCCUGUGACGAAGCGUGAGUGACGGUAAUGGGUAAAGAAGCACCGGCUAACUACGUG
RNAcentral lists this ribosomal RNA (468 nucleotides) under uncultured bacterium. RNAcentral describes it as "partial 16S ribosomal RNA". It matches the Rfam family "Bacterial small subunit ribosomal RNA", at positions 28 to 507 of the family's 1533-position model. The record is from RNAcentral.